Molecule: non-coding RNA, 24 nt
Filed under: Cricetulus griseus (Chinese hamster)
Lineage: Eukaryota; Metazoa; Chordata; Mammalia; Rodentia; Cricetidae
Source: RNAcentral
GCGGCCUCUGUAGAUAAGUUGGGU